This is a long non-coding RNA of Oreochromis aureus, 451 nucleotides long. NCBI's taxonomy places the organism in Eukaryota, Metazoa, Chordata, Actinopteri, Cichliformes, Cichlidae. The record is from Ensembl.
ACCCGCCGGAGCUGCAACGCUGCCGCCAUUGGAGGUGGAUGAACACAUGCGAGCAUGUCGCGGAGCUAGAGACUACAACUCCCAGAGGCCUCUAGGACAUGGGGAAAUGGCCUCUGGCGGAGGCACGGCCAGUGGCGUGGGAAAUCGGGACAGGAAUUAUGAGGACGAGGGUGAGCAACCCAUGCAAAUAGGGCACUCCAGAUUAUCCCCUGAGGAGCGACAACGUCGGUGGAGGGACGAUUUGAUUCAGCCAUGAGGCAGUCUUCAACAGCGGCUGCAGACUCACCCACCCCCACUGCUGCUGUUCCACCUCUGACACCUCAGACAAUUCACACCUCCUCUACUCACCCUGCUCACUCCUCCCCACCCCCAACAACAGCAUCCAAUACACACUCAACACAAGGCUCCAGCCUGUCUCUACUCAACCACCCAGGUUAGGAGGGAACUGGGG